AGCAGCCGCGGUAAUUCCAGCUCCAAUAGCGUAUAUUAAAGUUGUUGCAGUUAAAAAGCUCGUAGUUGAAUUUCGGGAUUGGCGCAUCGGUCGUGCCUCACGGGGUAUGAACUGGUGCAGUCAAUUUCUCACCUUCUGGAGAACCGCGAUGUCCUUAAUUGGAUGCCGCGGGGAACCAGGACCUUUACUUUGAAAAAAUUAGAGUGUUUAAAGCAGGCAUUUUUGCUUGAAUACAUUAGCAUGGAAUAAUAAAAUAGGACGGCAUGGUUCUAUUUUGUUGGUUUCUAGGACCACCGUAAUGAUUAAUAGGGAUAGUUGGGGGCAUUAGUAUUCAAUUGUCAGAGGUGAAAUUCUUGGAUUUAUUGAAGACUAACUACUGCGAAAGCAUUUGCCAAGGAUGUUUU
RNAcentral lists this ribosomal RNA (404 nucleotides) under uncultured Glomeromycotina. RNAcentral describes it as "SSU rRNA". It matches the Rfam family "Eukaryotic small subunit ribosomal RNA", at positions 569 to 970 of the family's 1831-position model. Lineage: Eukaryota; Fungi; Glomeromycota. The record is from RNAcentral.